AAAAAAAAAAAAAAAAAAAAAAAAAAAAGUCAUCAGAAAUUCAUCAAACAUGGAAUCCAAAGACUUGUUUACUAGUCUUGGUUCCAUAAUUGCCAGUGGAAUGUUUCUCUGGGCAAUGUUUCAGCAGUAUUUCCCUUAUGAACUUCGACACAACAUUGAAAAAUACUCUCAAAGAUUGGUCAGUUUCUUCUACCCUUACGUCCAAAUCACCUUCAAUGAGUUCACAGGUGACCGGUUCAUGCGAAAAAAAAAAAAAAAAAAAAAAAAAAAAAAGUCAUCAGAAAUUCAUCAAACAUGGAAUCCAAAGACUUGUUUACUAGUCUUGGUUCCAUAAUUGCCAGUGGAAUGUUUCUCUGGGCAAUGUUUCAGCAGUAUUUCCCUUAUGAACUUCGACACAACAUUGAAAAAUACUCUCAAAGAUUGGUCAGUUUCUUCUACCCUUACGUCCAAAUCACCUUCAAUGAGUUCACAGGUGACCGGUUCAUGCGUAGUGAAGCUUAUUCUGCAAUUGAGAAUUACCUCAGCUCCAAGUCAUCUACACAAGCAAAGAGACUCAAGGCUGAUAUAAUCAAAAACAGCAGCCAGUCACUUGUGCUAAGCAUGGACGACCAUGAAGAAGUUGCUGAUGAAUUCCAAGGAAUCAAACUCUGGUGGAGCUCGGGCAAACACAUAUCUAAGUCUCAGGUAUUUUCUUUCUAUCCGGCAACAGAUGAGAAGAGAUACUACAAGCUAACUUUCCAUAAACGUCACCGUGAUUUAAUCUUAGGUCCAUACUUGGUUAGUGUACUUAAAGAAGGCAGGGAAAUCAAGGUGAGAAAUAGGAUGAGAAAGCUUUAUACAAAUAAUGGUUCAAAUUGGGUUCAUGUAGUUUUCGAACACCCUGCAACAUUUCAAACACUUGCUAUGGAACCUGCAGAGAAGAAGG
This 925-nucleotide long non-coding RNA is filed under the name Citrus sinensis (sweet orange). Its description in RNAcentral is "long non-coding RNA (CSIN_LNC002750)". The record is from RNAcentral. Lineage: Eukaryota; Viridiplantae; Streptophyta; Magnoliopsida; Sapindales; Rutaceae.